CGGUCCAGACGUGGAGGGGGUGGCGGCGGCGGCAUCCCGGACGGCCUGUGAGGGAUGCGCCGCCCACUGCCCCGCGCCGCCUGACCG
RNAcentral lists this microRNA precursor (87 nucleotides) under Cercocebus atys (sooty mangabey). RNAcentral describes it as "miRNA (ENSCATG00000043186.1)". Lineage: Eukaryota; Metazoa; Chordata; Mammalia; Primates; Cercopithecidae. The record is from RNAcentral.